AUGUCAACAUGAGCCAACCUAGGAUUACAGAAUAGAGCUUCUCCAUUAAUAGAACAAUUAACUUUUUUCCAUGACCACACCUUAUUAAUUUUGGUAAUAAUCACAAUUAUAGUAGGUUACCUAAUAUUCAUAUUAUUCUUUAAUAAUUAUACUAAUCGAUUUUUGCUCCAUGGACAAGUUAUUGAAAUAAUUUGAACAAUUCUGCCAGCAAUUAUUCUCCUAUUCAUUGCUUUCCCCUCUCUGCGAUUACUAUAUUUAUUAGAUGAAAUUAGUGAGCCGGCAGUUACACUAAAAACCAUUGGCCAUCAAUGAUACUGAAGAUAUGAAUAUUCAGAUUUCAUUGAUUUAGAAUUUGAUUCUUACAUAAUCCCGACUAAUGAUCUUUCCGUGGAUGGAUUUCGGCUACUAGACGUAGAUAACCGAGUAAUUCUACCAAUAAAUACACAAAUUCGAGUACUAGUUACUGCCGCUGAUGUAAUUCAUUCUUGAACCAUUCCAUCUCUUGGCGUAAAGGUAGAUGGAACCCCCGGACGAUUAAACCAGACUAACUUUAUAAUCAGACGACCUGGAUUAUUUUUCGGUCAAUGCUCAGAAAUUUGCGGAGCAAACCACAGUUUUAUACCAAUUGUAAUUGAAAGUGUUUAUACAAGCUAUUUUAUUAAAUGAAUCUCU
Molecule: ribosomal RNA, 672 nt
Filed under: Rhaphiomidas parkeri
Lineage: Eukaryota; Metazoa; Arthropoda; Insecta; Diptera; Mydidae
Description: partial 16S ribosomal RNA
Source: RNAcentral